RNAcentral lists this unclassified non-coding RNA (1038 nucleotides) under Hevea brasiliensis (rubber tree). The record is from RNAcentral. Lineage: Eukaryota; Viridiplantae; Streptophyta; Magnoliopsida; Malpighiales; Euphorbiaceae.
GAAAUUUUUUUUUUUUCUUUUUUUCCGUUGGUGAGUAUCUCCCUGUCUUAUCAUCUCCAAAUAGGAAUCCAUCCAUCAAAUUUGAACGGAAAGCUUACUUACUUGUUCAACCAUGGGAUGCUUAUCUCCAUCUCCUGUCUCUGCAAUAUCUUUCACUAACCCAACUCUCUCCAAAAGGGUCUCUUCAUCUUCUAUGUUCAUUCCCAAAGCCAUGAAAAAGGAGCUUUACUUUAACCAUGAUGGUUCAGCAACAAAGAAACUUCUGGCUGGGGUGGAUAUGGUGGCAGAGCUAGUAGGAGUAACUUUAGGUCCAAAGGGAAGGAAUGUGGUGUUGGAAAAUAAGUAUGGACCCCCUAAGAUUGUUAACGAUGGAGAAACAGUUCUUAAACAGAUUGAACUGGAGGACCCCUUGGAGAAUGUAGGAGUGAAAUUGGUGAGGCAAGCUGGUGCGAAAACAAAUGACCUUGCUGGUGAUGGUUCCACAACAUCUGUAGUUCUUGCUCAUGGUUUAAUCACCGAAGGGCUGAAGGUAAGACACCAGUGGACUGUCUUGUAAAUCCAUAAGUACUUGCUCUGAUGAUUUAAAGACCGACACUUCUUAUAUCGUGAUAUGUUUGAAAUAAGAUUCAUAGAAGGUAAAUUUGUAGCUAGUAGAGGUGCCUACCAUUCAUGUCAUAAAGUGGCUCUUGGCUUUCAGUUUUUCUUUUUCAAGGACAUGUCUACUUCAUAUAUCUCUCUAAGAUUUAUAUAAAAUUCUCUGAACUUUUUCCGUUAAAGAUGACACAAUUUCUAGGUGAUUGCAGCUGGCACGAAUCCUGUCCAAAUUGCUCGUGGGAUUGAGAAAACCUCAAAAGCCCUUGUUUCCGAACUCAAAUUGAUGUCUAGAGAGGUUGAGGAUGAUGAGCUCUCCGAUGUUGCUGCAGUUAGUGCAGGGAAUGAUUAUACAGUGGGAAAUAUGAUAUCUGAUGCUUUUCGGAAAGUGGGAAGGAGGGGUGUGGUCACAAUUGAAAAAGGAAAGUAUAUUGAGAACAAUCUACA